GGUUUGAUUUAUGGCUCAGAUUGAACGCUGCGGAUGCUUUACACAUGCAAGUCGAACGGCAGCACGGACUUCGGUCUGGUGGCGAGUGGCGAACGGGUGAGUAAUAAAUGGAACGUGCUCUAGUAGUGGGGGAUAACUACGCGAAAGCGUAGCUAAUACCGCAUACGCCCUUCGGGGAAAGCGGGGACCUUCGGGCCUCGCACUAUUAGAGCGGCCGAUAUCGAUUAGCUGGUUGGUGGGGUAACGGUCACCAAGGCGACGAUCCGUAGCUGGUUUGAGAGGACGACCAGCCACACUGGGGCUGAGACACGCCCAGACUCCGCAUGGGAGGCAGCAGGGAAUUUUGAUUAAUGGGGGAAACCUGAUCCAGCCAUCCUGGCGUGGUGGCGAUGAAGGCCUUCGGGUUGUAAAAGCACUUUGCGCAGGAAAGAAACGGCACUGGAUAAUACCCCGUGCAACUGACGGUACCUGCAGAAUAAGCACCGGCUAACUACGUGCCAGCAGCCGUAAUACGUAGGGUGAAGGUGUUAAUCGGAAUUACUGGGUUAAAGCGUGCGCAGGCGGUCUGGAAAGAAAGAUGUGAAUCCCAGAGCUUAACUUUGGAACUGCAUUUUUAACUACCGAGCUAGAGUGUGUCAGGAGGGAGGGUGAAAUUCGCGUGUAGCAGUGAAAUGCGUAGAUAUGCGGAGGAACACCGAUGGCGAAGGCAGCCUCCUGGGAUAACACUGACGCUCAUGCACGAAAGCGUGGGGAGCAACAGAUUAGAUCUGGUAGUCCACGCCCUAAAACGAUGUCAAAUUAGCUGUUGGGGCCUUCGGGCCUUGGUAGCGCAGCGCCACGGUGAAGCUGACCGCCUGGGGAGUACGGCCGCAAAGAUUAAAAACUCAAAGGAAUUGACGGGACCCGCACAAGCGGUGGAUGAUGUGGAUUAAUUCGAUGCAACGCGAAAAACCUUACCCACCCUUGACAUGUUCAAAUCCUUGAAGAGAUUUUGGGAGUGCUCGCAAGAGAACCGAACACAGGUGCUGCAUGGCUGUCGUCAGCUCGUGUCGUGAGAUGUUGGGUUAAGUCCCGCAACGAGCGCAACCCUUGUCAUUAGUUGCUACGAAAGGGCACUCUAAUGAGACUGCCGGUGACAAACCGGAGGAAGGUGGGGACACGUCAAGUCCUCAUGGCCCUUAUGGGUAGGGCUUCACACGUCAUACAAUGUCGGGACAGAGGGUCGCCAACCCGCGAGGGGGAGCCAAUCCCAGAAACCCGAUCGUAGUCCGGAUCGCAGUCUGCAACUGACUGCGUGAAGUCGGAAUCGCUAGUAAUCGCGGAUCAGCAUGUCGCGGUGAAUACGUUCCCGGGUCUUGUACACACCGCCCGUCACACCAUGGGAGUGGGUUUUACCAGAAGUAGUUAGCCUAACCGCAUAUGGCAGAUUACCACGGUAGGAUUCAUGACUGGGGUGAAGUCGUAAUGGAAGGUAA
Molecule: ribosomal RNA, 1475 nt
Filed under: uncultured Bordetella sp.
Lineage: Bacteria; Pseudomonadati; Pseudomonadota; Betaproteobacteria; Burkholderiales; Alcaligenaceae
Description: partial 16S-23S ribosomal RNA intergenic spacer
Rfam family: Bacterial small subunit ribosomal RNA
Source: RNAcentral